Molecule: ribosomal RNA, 243 nt
Filed under: uncultured bacterium
Lineage: Bacteria
Description: partial 16S ribosomal RNA
Rfam family: Bacterial small subunit ribosomal RNA
Source: RNAcentral
GCGAGGUGGAGCGAAUCUCCAAAAAUUGUCCCAGUUCAGAUUGCAGGCUGCAACUCGCCUGCAUGAAGUCGGAAUUGCUAGUAAUCGUGGAUCAGCAUGCCACGGUGAAUACGUUCCCGGGCCUUGUACACACCGCCCGUCACACCAUGGGAGUCGGUAACACCCGAAGCCUGUAGUCUAACCGCAAGGAGGACGCAGUCGAAGGUGGGAUUGAUGACUGGGGUGAAGUCGUAACAAGGUAUC